GGCGCCAUGACUGCUAGGGUUUUGGUCAAAGAGCGCUUUCGGGAUUUGUGGAGGAUGAGUGAAGAAGAGGAGGGGGAGGGGAUCCGCAGCUCCGGUUGGGAGAGGAGCUUUGGUGCAAUGAGGGCGGAUCCCGAAACCAUGAGAGCCGAAGCCAUCAGAACUGAAGCUAUGGAGCGGCGGUGGGGCGUUUGGUUAUCAGCAGCGGCGCCGCCGUGCCCUAUAGAGGAAAUCUGCAGAGGAGUGAUGUG
This 248-nucleotide unclassified non-coding RNA is filed under the name Hevea brasiliensis (rubber tree). The record is from RNAcentral. Lineage: Eukaryota; Viridiplantae; Streptophyta; Magnoliopsida; Malpighiales; Euphorbiaceae.